Paramuricea clavata is the source of this 72-nucleotide non-coding RNA. Lineage: Eukaryota; Metazoa; Cnidaria; Anthozoa; Malacalcyonacea; Plexauridae. The record is from the annotation of a GenBank genome assembly.
GACCGCGUAGCUCAGUUGGAAGAGCAUUGGGCUAGUAUUCCAAAGGUCGUAGGUUCGAAUCCCCCGUGGCCA